CCCCUCUCAGGGUCGCAUCUGGAGAGUUUCCAGUACUCUACCAGUCUUGACUAUGGGAGGGAGAGUCAAGCAGAGGCAUACCCAUUCUAUUCCUAGCUUGGCCAGUGGCUAGCGAGUGGAAGGAAAUCUGUAACAUGU
This 138-nucleotide small nucleolar RNA is filed under the name Ornithorhynchus anatinus (platypus). The record is from RNAcentral. Lineage: Eukaryota; Metazoa; Chordata; Mammalia; Monotremata; Ornithorhynchidae.